GCGGGACUGCACGGCACGAACUGAUGAGAACAUCCCUGAGGCGAUUAUUUAUCUAAGGGAGCUGUCCCUGUUUGGACCGUGGUCCAGACUAAACGGCGCCCACCUGACGUUUUGGCGUCAGAGGAUAUUCCGGGAAACGACCCAUUGUGGUUCCGCU
This 157-nucleotide non-coding RNA is filed under the name Sphingorhabdus lacus. RNAcentral describes it as "6S RNA". It matches the Rfam family "6S / SsrS RNA". From Rfam's summary of the family: E. coli 6S RNA was the first non coding RNA to be sequenced, but its function was unknown until recently. RNAcentral also lists the same sequence under 3 other names. Lineage: Bacteria; Pseudomonadati; Pseudomonadota; Alphaproteobacteria; Sphingomonadales; Sphingorhabdaceae. The record is from RNAcentral.